CAGUAGCCGCGGGAAUACAGAGGGUGCGAGCGUUAAUCGGAUUUACUGGGCGUAAAGCGUGCGUAGGCGGCUUCUUAAGUCGGAUGUGAAAUCCCUGAGCUUAACUUAGGAAUUGCAUUCGAUACUGGGAAGCUAGAGUAUGGGAGAGGAUGGUAGAAUUCCAGGUGUAGCGGUGAAAUGCGUAGAGAUCUGGAGGAAUACCGAUGGCGAAGGCAGCCAUCUGGCCUAAUACUGACGCUGAGGUACGAAAGCAUUGGGAGCAAACAGGAUUAGAUACCCCGGUAGUCCCUGUCUCUUAUAC
RNAcentral lists this ribosomal RNA (301 nucleotides) under uncultured bacterium. Its description in RNAcentral is "partial 16S ribosomal RNA". It matches the Rfam family "Bacterial small subunit ribosomal RNA", at positions 509 to 807 of the family's 1533-position model. The record is from RNAcentral.